Molecule: ribosomal RNA, 277 nt
Filed under: uncultured prokaryote
Description: partial 16S ribosomal RNA
Rfam family: Bacterial small subunit ribosomal RNA
Source: RNAcentral
UACGUAGGGGGCUAGCGUUAUCCGGAAUUACUGGGCGUAAAGGGUGCGUAGGUGGUUUCUUAAGUCAGAGGUGAAAGGCUACGGCUCAACCGUAGUAAGCCUUUGAAACUGGGAAACUUGAGUGCAGGAGAGGAGAGUGGAAUUCCUAGUGUAGCGGUGAAAUGCAUAGAUAUUAGGAGGAACACCAGUUGCGAAGGCGGCUCUCUGGACUGUAACUGACACUGAGGCACGAAAGCGUGGGGAGCAAACAGGAUUAGAUACCCGCGUAGUCCCUGAG